This 546-nucleotide ribosomal RNA is filed under the name Triticum aestivum (bread wheat). RNAcentral describes it as "partial small subunit ribosomal RNA". The record is from RNAcentral. Lineage: Eukaryota; Viridiplantae; Streptophyta; Magnoliopsida; Poales; Poaceae.
AUGGUUCGUGUAUAUAUUUUACAGAAACGUGAAAUCAAAGUUGGGAAUAAAGUAGCCGGAAGACAUGGGAAUAAAGGGAUCAUUUCCAAAAUUUUGCCUAGGCAAGAUAUGCCCUAUUUGCAAGAUGGAACACCCGUUGAUAUGGUCUUCAAUCCCUUAGGAGUACCCUCCCGAAUGAAUGUGGGACAAAUAUUUGAAAGCUCGCUCGGAUUAGCGGGGGAUCUGCUAAAGAAACAUUAUAGAAUAGCACCCUUUGAUGAGAGAUAUGAGCAAGAGGCUUCAAGAAAACUUGUGUUUUCAGAAUUAUAUGAAGCCAGUAAAGAAACAAAAAAUCCAUGGGUAUUUGAACCCGAGUACCCGGGAAAAAGCAGAAUAUUUGAUGGAAGAACAGGCGACCCCUUUGAGCAACCUAUUCUAAUAGGGAAGUCCUAUAUCUUAAAAUUAAUUCAUCAAGUUGAUGAGAAAAUUCAUGGGCGUUCUACUGGGCCCUACUCACUUGUUACACAAGAACCGGUUAGAGGAAGAGCCAAGCAAGGGGGACAAUGA